UAUAUGUAAGUGUUUUGAGCACGUUAAGUUUUGAUCUUUUUAGGACUAGUUUAAAUCUAGUAUAUGUAA
This 69-nucleotide transfer RNA is filed under the name Engaewa subcoerulea. Its description in RNAcentral is "tRNA-Gln". The record is from RNAcentral. Lineage: Eukaryota; Metazoa; Arthropoda; Malacostraca; Decapoda; Parastacidae.